ACGCUCGACACCUACGGGAGGCAGCAGUGGGGAAUAUUGCACAAUGGGGGAAACCCUGAUGCAGCGACGCCGCGUGAGUGAAGAAGUAUUUCGGUAUGUAAAGCUCUAUCAGCAGGAANAAAUGACGGUACCUGACUAAGAAGCCCCGGCUAACUACGUGCCACAGCCGCGGUAAUCUGAGCGGGCUGGCAAGGC
RNAcentral lists this ribosomal RNA (195 nucleotides) under uncultured bacterium. RNAcentral's name for it is "partial 16S ribosomal RNA". It matches the Rfam family "Bacterial small subunit ribosomal RNA", at positions 328 to 539 of the family's 1533-position model. The record is from RNAcentral.